UUUUGGACAAUGGGGGCAACCCUGAUCCAGCCAUGCCGCGUGAGUGAAGAAGGCCUUCGGGUUGUAAAGCUCUUUCGGACGGAACGAAAUGGGCGGGACUAAUACUCCUGUCUGAUGACGGUACCGUAAGAAGAAGCACCGGCUAACUACGUGCCAGCAGCCGCGGUAAUACGUAGGGUGCGAGCGUUAAUCGGAAUUACUGGGCGUAAAGCGUGCGCAGGCGGUUUCGUAAGCUGGAGGUGAAAUCCCCUGGCUUAACCUGGGAAUGGCCUUCAGGACUGCGAGGCUAGAGUGCGGCAGAGGGAGGUGGAAUUCCACGUGUAGCAGUGAAAUGCGUAGAGAUGUGGAGGAACACCGAUGGCGAAGGCAGCCUCCUGGGCCAGCACUGACGCUCAUGCACGAAA
RNAcentral lists this ribosomal RNA (404 nucleotides) under uncultured bacterium. Its description in RNAcentral is "bacterial SSU rRNA". It matches the Rfam family "Bacterial small subunit ribosomal RNA", at positions 362 to 758 of the family's 1533-position model. The record is from RNAcentral.